Molecule: long non-coding RNA, 2708 nt
Organism: Mauremys mutica (yellowpond turtle)
Lineage: Eukaryota; Metazoa; Chordata; Testudines; Geoemydidae
Exons: 6
Source: RefSeq, a predicted model, not a curated record
UACUUUAUGCUGCGCCUUCUGAGGUGACUGGCUGGCUGUUUAUGGCCUAGCUGCUAUCAGACGGUACCUGUUCCUGGGGGUCGAGCUAUUUACACUUUCCAGCAGGGUGAAUGUUAAAAGCAAAUAUUUAAAACAGGCUCUUGGCCACAUAGGGAACAAUCUGAUGAUUGGGCUGAUACCUCUGAAGACGGGGAGAGCUGCUGACUCACAGGUGAGCUGAGUAUUUUAAUCUCUUACCUGAGACAAGGUGCUGGAAGCUGACUCAUGAGUUUGCUCUUCUUUGGGCAGUGGGAAUGAUCCUGACCCCGCCGGAAGCAGCGUGGCUUCGGCUCCCAGAGCAGAGCUGUUGCAUUCAGAGGUGUCUCAUCAAGCCAUGGCCAUCACUGGACAUUCUUUUAUACCACGCCGCGUAGCAUCAAACUGUCCCAUGGGAAAUCUGAAGAAUGAGGGUUUAUUGAAGCUGCACUUUAGGACCAACUCAGCUGUAGGUUUCCUUCCUCUUUAGAUAACCCGAUUGCCUGUGGAAGGAGCCAAGGAAUGAGUUGGAUGGUCAGCGUCCAGAUGUUCAGGGGAUUGAAAAAGCUUUAAGGCCGUGAUCCACCAAAGCACUUAAGCACAUGCGUAAUCCCAUUGAUAUUGGCUUCAGUGAGAUGACUCCCGUGCUUAAAGUUAAGUAUGUGCUUUGCUGGAUCAGGGCCGGAGUAGUUUAUACUUCCGGAUGGAUUCAUUUGUCAUUUCGCUCCUCUUGCCUCUCCGGCAAUGCUUGUUUCUCUGCGUCUGUUGUCUGCUUCCCUCGCAGGCUGUCUUCUGCAAUCCACAGGCUGGCGUGGGCCGCCUCCCAGCAGCUCACACGUGGCUGCACUGCCAUUUGAUGCACCGAGCUGUUCCCAAGCUCAGGGGCUGGGGAAGAAUCCAGUUCAAACUGCUUUAAAGCGAGGCAGCCUGAUGGCCCAGUGGGAGUCAUGGCCAUGAGAUUUGCCAAGAAGCUCAUGCAAACCAGUUUCAGCCUGUGGCACGUUCCCAAGCUGGUCACUUCAACAGUUCGCUCUUCAGAUCAGCCACACUGGUGCAAGAUGGUGCUGGUAGCUGCCUGCAUUUUAAGCUCCAGGUCACGCAGACCUGCUCUGUUUUCUGCUAGCAGCUCAGGUGCCAGUCUGAUUUAGGAGAGGGAUGAAGCAAGUUUCGCUCAUCUCAGUCUCAUCCGCUGCACCAAAACCAGCUACGACACAGGCUCAGCAGCAGGCCUGGCUCAAGCUUUGCCACGCCACCUUCCUUCAAGAAAUCCCGAGAAGAAAGCAGCAGCAAAGAGACGGUUUAAGGGCCUCAUCCUGAGCAUCAAGUCCCUGCACUGGGUGGCUUUGGACACCAAUGGGAGCUGCUAGUGCUCAGCGCCACUCGGGAUCAGCCCCUGAGCCUGUGACUGUGAGAUAUCCUAUCUGGGCUCAACCAGAACGCUGAAUCCAACCCAACCCAGUGUCAGAGACAUUUGGAUUCCGGCUCCAGUCUUCAUGACUCACAUCAGACCAUUGUGAGCCGUCUCCUUCCUGACUGUGCUGUGACAGAAAACAGCUGCUCCACUGGAAAGAAGCACCUCCAGAAUGCGGGCAAGGAGAAAGAACGCAUAAUGAAAUGGGAUUCGUAAAUGGACCUCUUCCCCCCACCCUUCGCCUCCCACCGCAUGGAAAAAUUCCACCACCAGGGCUAAAGCAUUAUUUAUCGCGGUGCCUCCAGGUGACAGCGCACGCUGCCUGUGUUUGCAGGGAGUGCCACCAUUAGUAACUUUUAAGGAUUGUAAUCAUCCGCCGGGAAGGAACGUUGCAGCCAGAAAGCGGAACAGCCAAGUCGAAGCCAGCUACGAAACAAUGUCGCCUGUGCCCUUCGCUGUUGCUUUGUGAUAUAUGCCGAUGGGUUUGUGAACUCUUAAAGCGAUGAGCUAUUGCAUUGGGGUCUCACGCCCCUCUCUCGUCGGUGCAAGCCCCUGCCAUGCUCAAGGGAAGGCCUGGCUAGUAGCCUGCCUACCGGAACCCUUCCUCCAGUUUACCGAUUCAGAGAUUCCAAGGCCAAAGGGGACCGCUAUUGAAGGAGGCCGUGUGGCAUAGUAGACUGAGCACUGGACUGGGACAAGCUCUGUCGCUGGCCUGCUGGGUGACCGUGAGCAAGUCACAGCACUGCUCUGCGCCUCAGUUUCCCCAGCUGUGAAAUGGCGAUGAGGCUGUGCAGUGCUUGGGGAUCUGUGGGUGAAAAGUGCUACGCCAGCGCUCGCUGGUGUUUUAAAGGUAAAAGCAGGCCUUUUAGCGGAGGCACGUGGGUGGGAGUUUAUCUCAAGAAUCAGACAGUCCUCAGAUAAUUAAACCCACCUGUUAAACCAGAUACUGAAUCUACUAGAGCUGCUUUCCCUUCAGAUGCAAUCUUCAGUGCCUGACAUGACACACACACACGGACCGGAUUGUAUACAAUGACAAUUAGGAAAGGGCUGGUGUUGUGAUAUCUGGCUGGGCCCAACACCUUCAGGGACUGCCAAAAUACCCACAGGGAAGACAAGACCCUUGUCUUCAGCUGUCCUGUACCCCAAAAUAACCCUAUCCCAAGUAGAGCUGAACCCUGAAAAGGGAGCAGUGACAGAGCCUCAGGAAGCCAUUAAGGACUUUGCUGUUGAUUUUAUUUGAAAGGUGCCCAGAUGCCACUGUGAUGGGCAGCAGAAUAAAAUC